GUAGUAUUCCCUCCGUCGUCUUACAUUUGUUUAGAUAUGGAUGUAUCUAACACUAAAAUGUAACUAGAUACAUCCGUAUUUAGACAAAUUUAAGACAAGAAUUUUGGGACGAAGGGAGUACAAA
Triticum aestivum (bread wheat) is the source of this 124-nucleotide non-coding RNA. NCBI's taxonomy places the organism in Eukaryota, Viridiplantae, Streptophyta, Magnoliopsida, Poales, Poaceae. The record is from Rfam.